UCCAGCUGGGUAGCCGGGGGAGCGCGCGUGGGGGCUCCGCGAGUCGCUCGCCCUUGGUUUCUGGGGAAGCCUGGGGGACGCGGCUGUGGCGGAGGCGCCCUGGGACUCAGGUCGCCUGGAGCGUGGCACGCAGAGCCCCAGGCGCGGAGCUGAGGCCGCGCGGCCGCGCUUGGCCCCAGCGGGCGUGGGACUGAGCAGUCUGCUGCCCCCCGACAUGUGACCCAGCCCCGCCGCCCAUGCGGGCUCCCGGCCGCCCGGCCCUGCGGCCGCUGCCGCUGCCGCCGCUGCUGCUGUUGCUCCUGGCGGCGCCUUGGGGACGGGCAGGGUAUUCCCGUCCUCUCCUGGGUCUUUGGGCUAAGGUCUAAGGACUGCUGGGAAGACCACCUUAGAAGAUGUAUGUAGUUACCUGGAUACUACCUGCUCGUAAUUGAAGGAUUAUCUACAAUGUCUUCUGUACAACGUGGGCUUACUAAGGUUCUAUGACUUUGCCACUCUCAGAAUUCCUUUUGAUGUAGAAACUCAGAGUUGACAGGACCUUAAAAGUCACCCCACCCAGCUGCCACUCUCUUGAUUGUCCUCUGCAGCAUCACUUCCAAGUAAUGACCUGUCUGCUGUGUGAGCACCUCUCAUCACAGGAUACUCACUACCCUGCACC
RNAcentral lists this long non-coding RNA (655 nucleotides) under Homo sapiens (human). RNAcentral's name for it is "non-protein coding lnc-IL22RA2-2:1". The record is from RNAcentral. Lineage: Eukaryota; Metazoa; Chordata; Mammalia; Primates; Hominidae.